This 313-nucleotide ribosomal RNA is filed under the name uncultured Arcobacter sp. Its description in RNAcentral is "bacterial SSU rRNA". It matches the Rfam family "Bacterial small subunit ribosomal RNA", at positions 29 to 334 of the family's 1533-position model. Lineage: Bacteria; Pseudomonadati; Campylobacterota; Epsilonproteobacteria; Campylobacterales; Arcobacteraceae. The record is from RNAcentral.
AGUGAACGCUGGCGGCGUGCUUAACACAUGCAAGUCGAACGAGAACGGAUAUUAGCUUGCUAAUAUUGUCAGCUAAGUGGCGCACGGGUGAGUAAUAUAUAGUUAACCUGCCUUAGAGAAGGGGAUAAUUGUUGGAAACGACUUGUAAGACCCUAUAUGCCUUUAAUACAUAAGUAUGCAAGGGAAAUAUUUAUAGCUCUAAGAUGGGACUGUACGGUAUCAGAUAGUUGGUGAGGUAAUGGCUCACCAAGUCAAUGACGCCUAACUGGUUUGAGAGGAUGAUCAGUCACACUGGAACUGAGACACGGUCCAG